CUUGUCAAAUCCUAGAACCCAAGCUCAGUUGAUGGUUCGGAUAAUCAACCAAGUAUCACAUGCCGAUUUUGAAAUGGUUGAUAAUACAACUGUUAUACCACCGGACUGCUGCAGUAAUUCGGGCGAUUGCUGUUAUAAGUGUGUCGUAACAGAAGGUUCUAACUCUGUCAUCGAAGACCUGUACAUCCGCUUAGCUCCCUUGAAUGGAGCUGAUGAGGUCCAAGUGGGUUUCAAUAAUGGUUCCUUGUUAGAGUUUCCAAGAAUAGCACCAAAAACGUCCUCAGCA
Molecule: long non-coding RNA, 286 nt
Organism: Amphimedon queenslandica
Lineage: Eukaryota; Metazoa; Porifera; Demospongiae; Haplosclerida; Niphatidae
Exons: 2
Source: RefSeq, a predicted model, not a curated record